RNAcentral lists this RNase P RNA (337 nucleotides) under bovine gut metagenome. RNAcentral's name for it is "Bacterial RNase P class A". It matches the Rfam family "Bacterial RNase P class A". From Rfam's summary of the family: Ribonuclease P (RNase P) is a ubiquitous endoribonuclease, found in archaea, bacteria and eukarya as well as chloroplasts and mitochondria. RNAcentral also lists the same sequence under 1 other name. The record is from RNAcentral.
GUUCGCUGAGCAGUCGCGGGUACAAUAUGAAAAUAUGUAUGUGAGGAAAGUCCGGGCUCCAGGGGCAAGAAUAACGGAUAACAUCCGCCAGGGGUGACCCUCGGACAAGUGCAACAGAAAUAUACCGCCGGAUUUUUCCGGUAAGGGUGGAAAGGCGAGGUAAGAGCUCACCCGUCACAUGGAGACAUGCUGACGCUGUAAACUCUAUUCGGAGCAACACCGUGGAAGGACACUAAGGCACGCCCCGCCGUCCUGAGGAGGUGGCUUGAGCACGGGAGCAAUCCCCUGCCACAGAUAGAUGACUGCUUUUAACAGAACCCGGCUUACAGGCGGACUA